GUUUACGUGGAAGCCAUGUGACAUUCUCGUGAACGCAAUGGCAAGGCGUGUUGUGAUCACCGGCUUGGGCUUGAUUACGCCGUUGGGUGUUGGAACGAAGUUUGUAUGGAAGCGAAUUAUCAAUGGAGAGAGCGGAAUUACUUCAACUUUUGGCAAAGGUUACCAGCAGAUUCCUUCUCGUGUUGCUGGAUUUAUUCCUCGAGGAAAUGGAGUUGGCAUGUUCGAUGAAGACUCUGUAGUGACCAAGUCG
Molecule: long non-coding RNA, 250 nt
Organism: Corticium candelabrum
Lineage: Eukaryota; Metazoa; Porifera; Homoscleromorpha; Homosclerophorida; Plakinidae
Exons: 4
Source: RefSeq, a predicted model, not a curated record